GAUGAAGAACGUAGCGAAAUGCGAUAAGUAAUGUGAAUUGCAGAAUCCAGUGAAUCAUCGAAUCUUUGAACGCACAUUGCGCCCGCCAGUAUUCUGGCGGGCAUGCCUGUCCGAGCGUCAUUUCAACCAUCAAGCCCCAGGCUUGUGUUGGGGACCUGCGUCCGACGCAGGCCCUGAAAACCAGUGGCGGGCUCGCUGUCCACACCGAGCGUAGUAACUAACCUCGCUACGGGAGCGGCGCGGGCGCAUGCCGUAAAACCCCCAAUUUUCACAAGGUUGACCUCGGAUCAGGUAGGAAUACCCGCUGAACUUAAGCAUAUCAAUAAGCGGAGGA
RNAcentral lists this unclassified non-coding RNA (334 nucleotides) under soil metagenome. Its description in RNAcentral is "partial contains 5.8S ribosomal RNA, internal transcribed spacer 2, and large subunit ribosomal RNA". The stretch from base 1 to 120 matches the Rfam family "5.8S ribosomal RNA", at positions 35 to 154 of the family's 154-position model. The record is from RNAcentral.